AGGCCUGGUCCUGGAGGCUCUUGACUCCAGGCUUCCCUAAGGUUCCUGGAAGGCCUUCAUGUGUUAUUACUGGUUGGACAGAGAAGAGCACUGCCAGCCCCAGAUGGGAGUGAGAAGGCCGGUCGGGGAGAAGCUCAUUUGGCAGAAUGCUGAAGCCUUACUGGUCUGAGGUGUCAGAGGUCAGAGCCUGAGACUGACAGAGGAGCCACAGGUGACCAGCAAACUGCAGAAGCUCUGGGGAGAACUCCAUGGAGUCAGGCUAAAAACAGCAGCAACCAGAAACUGUAAGAACUGAGCAGAGAUACCAGCUGCACCACUAGAGAGACAAAGUGUGUAGCUCACUGCCUAGUACAGCAAAAUAGCCACAAUCCUCAGAAGGACACAACAGAAUCUGGAAUCACUAGAAAGUAUUAUCUACAAUGCUCAUUCUUAACCAUGCAAAGAAGAAACAGGAAAGUGUGAUUCAAAGUCAGAAAAAAGUCAGUCAAUAGAAAUCUACUCUGUUAGGGACAGGUGUUGGUGAAUUAAGUAAUUAGAGACUCUAAAGCAGCUAUGAUAAAUAUGUUCACAGAGGAAAGCUCAAUAGAGAAAUGAAACUUCAAACAU
This is a long non-coding RNA of Homo sapiens (human), 606 nucleotides long. Lineage: Eukaryota; Metazoa; Chordata; Mammalia; Primates; Hominidae. The record is from Ensembl.